AAAUAUGAUCAUGCAAAGCAUGGAAAUUACCAUUACUAUAAUUUUAAUAAAGGAUAUAAACACUAAAAAGUAGAGCCAAAGGCUUAUCAAUAAUAAAAGAAUCCAUGCCACCAACAAACUCUACAACCCGUAUAUAUACAUUAGAAAUUAUAUCCACAGUAAAAAUAGCAAAGAACCGUCUUCCACACAAUAAUCUGGUCGCAGCCUCACCACCAUGUAGGCCUGGCAAUGGAGCAGGUUUUGACCAUGAUCCGAUCCAAACCCUUAACAAUUAUACGGGUUUGGAGCAUAGUUUUUGAUCCGUUUACCCGCUAACGACCCGUACCCGCUAACCCUUUUAUUAAAAGGGUCGGGUAUAGAUCAUCACCGAUCCGUUGCGUUUAUAACCCGUCCCAUAUAAAUUUUAGAAAUAUAAAUUUAUAUUUUAUAUUGCCUACAGUUUACAUUAAAUUCCAAUCAGAAGUCCAAAGAGAAAAGGCAAAGACUAAAUUGUUUUUACAUUGGACUCGAUGACUCAACUUCUAGACUUCUGGUCUUCUCCCGAGAGUCAUGAUUUCAUUUCAUUUAUAUUUCAUCAUGUAAUCAUCAAUUUCAUUUAUAAAUCAAUAAGGUCAUUUAUCAACCUGAAGAAAGUUUGUAAUUGUUAUUCUCUAUCAAUACAAUCGACGAUCAAAAACCAAUCAGAAAUAACUAAAAUAAUGAUUUUAAUUGCAAUAGAAAGUCCUCGAGUAGAUAAUGUGUUUUCUAAAUCAAAACUUACUUUUAUUUAAUAAAUGUGAUUUUAUGAUUUAAGUAAAAUGUGUUUGAUUAUUCAGAAAAACUACGGGUUACGAGGCGGAUUUGAAUAUCUGCUAAUUCAAUGGAUAAGGAUAUGAAUUUGAUUAUUCAAAACCUGCGGGUUAUGGAGCGGGUUUGGAUCGGAUUUUGAAGUUUGUUAAAAGGGUUUGGAUCAAUGUCGAUUCGCUCCAAACCCGCCCCAUUGUCAGGUUUACCAUCAUUUCUUCCGAAUUCUUUCGUUUUCCAACGGCAAAAAAAAUAAACAGAAAUAAUUAAAAGAAUAAAGCAGAUUAAGUAUACAUAAACCAAAAAAAUACAAAUAAACCACAUUUCCUUCAUAUCUUCGAUAUAACUCAUAGAAGUUCAAAUUAGACAACUAUUUUUAAAAGUUUUGGUCCAUUUUAAGUAAAAAAUAAUAAUAAUAAUAAUAAUAAUAAUAAUAAUAAUAAUAAAGAAACCUAUAACCAAAAUUGAACAGGAGAAUGUAUUAGGCUCUGAUUUGGAGAUUAAACAAUCCAGAUAUGUUUCAAGAACUACAAAGCCUUACAAAUCCGACUCAUUUACUUCACAUAUUGGAGUUAACUCUUGUUUACUUCAAGAAAGAAAGGGGUAAAGAGAGUGAGUAAUGAAGCAUGGUUUCAAGAUGAUGUACCCAUAAUCUUGGUGGAGACGACAGUGGCUGCUGUGAAAUGUCAUUGACACGGUGGUGUAUUAGGGUUUCUCAAAGAGAGAGGGAAAUAGGGAGAGAAAGAGAGAUAUGUUGUUGACGGCUGAUGAUUUUUGACAAAGGUGUAAAACGUUAAAAUAGGGGUUUGAGGCAAAUCAAAGGUCAUGGAAUGAAAAAGUCAU
RNAcentral lists this long non-coding RNA (1626 nucleotides) under Lactuca sativa (garden lettuce). RNAcentral describes it as "long non-coding RNA (LSAT_LNC005491)". Lineage: Eukaryota; Viridiplantae; Streptophyta; Magnoliopsida; Asterales; Asteraceae. The record is from RNAcentral.